This 468-nucleotide ribosomal RNA is filed under the name uncultured bacterium. RNAcentral describes it as "partial 16S ribosomal RNA". It matches the Rfam family "Bacterial small subunit ribosomal RNA", at positions 28 to 507 of the family's 1533-position model. The record is from RNAcentral.
GACGAACGCUGGCGGCGUGCUUAACACAUGCAAGUCGAACGGAAAGGCCCUGCUUUUGUGGGGUGCUCGAGUGGCGAACGGGUGAGUAACACGUGAGUAACCGGCCCUGGACUUUGGGAUAACUUCAGGAAACUGGGGCUAAUACCGGAUAGGAGCGCCUGCUGCAGGGUGGGGGUGGGAAAGUUUCGGCGGUUGGGGAUGGACUCGCGGCUUAUCAGCUUGUUGGUGGGGUAGUGGCUUACCAAGGCUUUGACGGGUAGCCGGCCUGAGAGGGUGACCGGCCACAUUGGGACUGAGAUACGGCCCAGACUCCUACGGGAGGCAGCAGUGGGGAAUAUUGCACAAUGGGCGGAAGCCUGAUGCAGCAACGCCGCGUGCGGGAUGACGGCCUUCGGGUUGUAAACCGCUUUCGCCUGUGACGAAGCGUGAGUGACGGUAAUGGGUAAAGAAGCACCGGCUAACUACGUG